Molecule: ribosomal RNA, 883 nt
Filed under: uncultured Mycoplasma sp.
Lineage: Bacteria; Bacillati; Mycoplasmatota; Mollicutes; Mycoplasmatales; Mycoplasmataceae
Description: bacterial SSU rRNA
Rfam family: Bacterial small subunit ribosomal RNA
Source: RNAcentral
GGUACUGUAUCAGAAAGUGACGGCAAACUAUGUGCCAGCAGCCGCGGUAAUACAUAGGUCACAAGCGUUAUCCGAAAUUAUUGGGCGUAAAGCGUCCGUAGGUUGUUUGUUAAGUCUGGAGUUAAAGACCGGUGCUCAACGCCGGCACGCUUUAGAUACUGGCAAACUAGAGUUAUAAAGAGGUAAGUGGAAUUUCAUGUGAAGCGGUGGAAUGCGUAGAUAUAUGAAAGAACACCAAUGGCGAAGGCAGCUUACUGGUUAUAUACUGACACUGAGGGACGAAAGCGUGGGGAGCAAACAGGAUUAGAUACCCUGGUAGUCCACGCCGUAAACGAUGAUCAUUAGUUGGUGGGGGAACCCUCGCUAACGCAGCUAACGCAUUAAAUGAUCCGCCUGAGUAGUAUGCUCGCAAGAGUGAAACUUAAAGGAAUUGACGGGGACCCGCACAAGCGGUGGAGCAUGUGGUUUAAUUUGACGAUACGCGUAGAACCUUACCCACUCUUGACAUCCCUUGCAAAGCUAUAGAGAUAUAGUGGAGGUUAACAAGGUGACAGAUGGUGCAUGGUUGUCGUCAGCUCGUGUCGUGAGAUGUUCGGUUAAGUCCUGCAACGAGCGCAACCCCUAUCCUUAUUUACUAACAUUAAGUUGAGAACUAUACGGAUACUGCUCAGGUAACUGGGAGGAAGGUGGGGAUGACGUCAAAUCAUCAUGCCUCUUACGAGUGGGGCAACACACGUGCUACAAUGGCCGGUACAAAGAGACGCAAUAUGGUGACAUGGAGCAAAUCUGAAAAACCGGUCUCAGUUCGGAUUGAAGGCUGCAAUUCGCCUUCAUGAWGUCGGAAUCGCUAGUAAUCGUAGAUCAGCUACGCUACGGUGAAUAC